Molecule: ribosomal RNA, 643 nt
Filed under: uncultured Actinomycetes bacterium
Lineage: Bacteria; Bacillati; Actinomycetota; Actinomycetes
Description: bacterial SSU rRNA
Rfam family: Bacterial small subunit ribosomal RNA
Source: RNAcentral
CGCGGCCUAUCAGCUUGUUGGUGAGGUAAUGGCUCACCAAGGCGACGACGGGUAGCCGGCCUGAGAGGGUGACCGGCCACACUGGGACUGAGACACGGCCCAGACUCCUACGGGAGGCAGCAGUGGGGAAUAUUGCACAAUGGGCGCAAGCCUGAUGCAGCAACGCCGCGUGGGGGACGACGGCCUUCGGGUUGUAAACCUCUUUUGGCAGGGAAGAAGCGAAAGUGACGGUACCUGCAGAAAAAGCACCGGCUAACUACGUGCCAGCAGCCGCGGUAAUACGUAGGGUGCAAGCGUUGUCCGGAAUUAUUGGGCGUAAAGAGCUCGUAGGCGGUUUGUCGCGUCUGCUGUGAAAAUCCGAGGCUCAACCUCGGACCUGCAGUGGGUACGGGCAAACUAGAGUGCGGUAGGGGAGAUUGGAAUUCCUGGUGUAGCGGUGGAAUGCGCAGAUAUCAGGAGGAACACCGAUGGCGAAGGCAGAUCUCUGGGCCGUAACUGACGCUGAGGAGCGAAAGCGUGGGGAGCGAACAGGAUUAGAUACCCUGGUAGUCCACGCCGUAAACGGUGGGAACUAGAUGUGGGGUCCGUUCCACGGAUUCCGUGUCGCAGCUAACGCAUUAAGUUCCCCGCCUGGGGAGUACGG